GUGCUUGCUUCGGCAGCACACUAAAAUUGGAAUGUACAGAAAAGAUUAGCAAGGAUGACACCCAAAUUUGUGAGUGUCCCAUAUUGUUU
This 89-nucleotide small nuclear RNA is filed under the name Tupaia belangeri (northern tree shrew). Lineage: Eukaryota; Metazoa; Chordata; Mammalia; Scandentia; Tupaiidae. The record is from RNAcentral.